Ruditapes philippinarum (Manila clam) is the source of this 552-nucleotide long non-coding RNA. RefSeq lists it as uncharacterized. The transcript has 3 exons. Lineage: Eukaryota; Metazoa; Mollusca; Bivalvia; Venerida; Veneridae. The record is from RefSeq and is a predicted model, not a curated record.
GGAAUACACCAAUGCCUAGUACAAUGCCAUUAGAAACCAGAACAAACCAUGGCUGCAAAGGAAAUAAGAUGCACAUAGUCUGAAAGAUCUGGCUGGUGUUCUGAAUAAGAUGACAUAAUAUCUCAAUUGCAGAAGUACAGCUGGCAUGUAGGGGUUUCAACAGCACAUCUUGAUGAAUUGUACCAAAAGAUUUGCUUACACACCACCUGUUUAUAGGAUGCACAAUCUUCUUGCAGCCAUAGAUUAUAAUAUACAUGCAAAUAGACCAUACAUCACCAACAAGGGGGAUCUGUUAGACUUCAGCGAGUCUGGAUGAAUUAAAGAAGAAGAAAAAGUAUCAUUAUACCAUUUUUCAUGAUGCUAUAACUCUGAGAAUUAGUGACAUGGAGGGGAUAUAUAAAAUAGAAGUUAGAGGAAGAUGACCCCCCACAGACUUUCAAAAUAUUUGGCCCAAAGUUAGCCCGAAGCCUACCCGAGCCAUUCAUGAGGAACAUAAAUCAAGAUAUGAUUGACUUUUUAUGGAAAAGAAUGAUAAAUAGUGUGUUACACUGA